AUGCUCACUUCAGCAGCACAUAUAUGAAAGUUGGAAUAGUACAGACAAGAUUCGUAUGACCUUUGUGCAAGGAUGACAUGCAUAUUUAUAAGGCAGUCCUUUUUAUC
Small nuclear RNA from Peromyscus maniculatus bairdii (prairie deer mouse), 107 nucleotides. NCBI's taxonomy places the organism in Eukaryota, Metazoa, Chordata, Mammalia, Rodentia, Cricetidae. The record is from Ensembl.